AUUAGGAAUCUUGCGCAAUGGGCGAAAGCCUGACGCAGCGACGCCGCGUGGAGGAGGAAGUCUUUCGGGAUGUAAACUCCUUUUAGGUAGGAAGAAACAAAUGACGGUACUACCUGAAUAAGCCCCGGCUAACUACGUGCCAGCAGCCGCGGUAAUACGUAGGGGGCGAGCGUUGUCCGAAGUUACUGGGCGUAAAGCGCGCGUAGGCGGGUUGGCAAGUCUGCUGUGAAAGCCCGGAGCUUAACUCCGGAGGGUCGGUGGAUACUGCCAGUCUUGAAGAGGCUAGGGGGAGAUGGAAUUACCGGUGUAGCGGUGAAAUGCGUAGAGAUCGGUAGGAACACCAGUGGCGAAGGCGGUCUCCUGGAGCCCUCUUGACGCUGAGGCGCGAAAGCUGGGGGAGCAAACGG
RNAcentral lists this ribosomal RNA (407 nucleotides) under uncultured bacterium. Its description in RNAcentral is "bacterial SSU rRNA". It matches the Rfam family "Bacterial small subunit ribosomal RNA", at positions 354 to 775 of the family's 1533-position model. The record is from RNAcentral.